UGAGUAUAUGUGUAUCGGAGCUUAAUCCGUCACGCUGAUCCACUGCGGGCUGACGGAUAACUAUUUUACCCAAUUUUACUUAAAAGAUCCCUCUUUUUACAGAUCCCACUCAGGAAAACCUUCAAGAAGUAUGUAAGAUUAUAGACGGCUUCGAGGAUGGUUUGCCGAGUAUAUUAAAAGGUGUUAAUGAAACAGCAGCCAAUUUAAAAGAAGAUGAAUCAAAGAAGCUUCUAGAAGAAUUAGACGAAUUAUCCAACUAUAUAAAUAUAUUGGCGUCGACCAAAAAGAGCGAUCUUGUAAGUUUUCUAGUAUUUUCUCGAAUUAUUUAUUGUAAAAUAUGGUAAUGAGAUAGAAAUGAAAUUUAUUUCCAAAAUC
Melitaea cinxia (Glanville fritillary) is the source of this 375-nucleotide long non-coding RNA. RefSeq lists it as uncharacterized. The transcript has 2 exons. Lineage: Eukaryota; Metazoa; Arthropoda; Insecta; Lepidoptera; Nymphalidae. The record is from RefSeq and is a predicted model, not a curated record.